AUACGUAGGGUGCGAGCGUUGUCCGGAAUUACUGGGCGUAAAGAGCUCGUAGGUGGUUUGUCGCGUCGUCUGUGAAAUUCCGGGGCUUAACUCCGGGCGUGCAGGCGAUACGGGCAUAACUUGAGUACUGUAGGGGAGACUGGAAUUCCUGGUGUAGCGGUGAAAUGCGCAGAUAUCAGGAGGAACACCGGUGGCGAAGGCGGGUCUCUGGGAAGUAACUGACGCUGAGGAGCGAAAGCAUGGGUAGCGAACAGGAUUAGAUACCCUGGUAGUCCAUGCCGUAAACGGUGGGCGCUAGGUGUAGGGGUCUUCCACGACUUCUGUGCCGUAGCUAACGCAUUAAGCGCCCCGCCUGGGGAGUACGGCCGCAAGGCUAAAACUCAAAGGAAUUGGCGGGG
This 398-nucleotide ribosomal RNA is filed under the name uncultured bacterium. RNAcentral describes it as "partial 16S ribosomal RNA". It matches the Rfam family "Bacterial small subunit ribosomal RNA", at positions 523 to 918 of the family's 1533-position model. The record is from RNAcentral.